This is a long non-coding RNA of Herpailurus yagouaroundi (jaguarundi), 826 nucleotides long. RefSeq lists it as uncharacterized. Lineage: Eukaryota; Metazoa; Chordata; Mammalia; Carnivora; Felidae. The record is from RefSeq and is a predicted model, not a curated record. The transcript has 3 exons.
UCCAGCUCUCUCGCCCUCAGUCUGAGGGUCUGCAGGAGGACUUUGGUGACCCAGGACCAUCCCUCCAUCUGAAGAUCCUUAAUCACAUCUGCCAAGUGUCUUUUGUCCUGCAAGCUUCUAGAGACCACCUGCAUUCCGUGGCUUGUGGCCUCCGCCCCCCUCGAAGCCACAGGCGUGCCACCUCCUUAUCCCCCUCUGUCUCUGUCCCUCCGUGCCACUCUUUCCUUACUCUGGUCCUCCUGCCUCCUUCUGAGAAGGAUCCUUGUGAUGUCAAGGGCGCCCACUGGAUAAUUCAGGGCCAUCCCUCCAUCUGAAGAUCCUUCAUCACAUCUGCAAAGCGCCUUUUGCCCUGCAAGAGACUCACCCAUCAGAGAACUAAAUUCCGCACGGGGCUACAGAUUUGCAAAACGCUUUUCUUACGUGCCAGGCACUGAGCAACGGCUUAUAAAACAUUUUUCAACGACUCCAUCAACAAUGAAUAAGUAAGAACACAAACUUGUGAAAUCAGCAAGCGUGACCAUCCCCAUUGUGGAGACAGGACCCUGAGGCUCGGAGCGGAGAGGUCACUCGACAAGGGACUGAGUCUUGGUCUCCUGGGCGCAGGAACUGUGCCCUUCGGCUCCGGGACAGUCCAGGCACACAGUGGGCGGGGGCACAGUGGGCGAGGGCCUCGUCUGCUCACUUAGAGAAGAAAGGAAGGAAAUAGAAGGUCAACCAGCUGCUGUGGCAGGGACAGGGGCCUCACCUGAGCCUCCUGGUGGUUUCCCACAGCCUCACGUGACCCUCGGAACAUCUCUGUCUCUCUCUCUCUCUCACACACACACAC